Molecule: long non-coding RNA, 8048 nt
Organism: Athene cunicularia (burrowing owl)
Lineage: Eukaryota; Metazoa; Chordata; Aves; Strigiformes; Strigidae
Exons: 6
Source: RefSeq, a predicted model, not a curated record
CAGGUGUCCUUCAUUAGUCAAGACUGUGAAGAAAUUCCAGAAUUCCUAGGAACAAAAUAUGGACGUAUGGCAAAAAGACUAGAUCUUAGCUUCAACUUGUUAAGUGGCAUUUCAACAGGAACCAGAUGUGAUCUGGGUAAUGUAUAAGGAAAACUUGUUUUUUCCCUUUGAAAACUUUAAAUAAUAUUAGAAAAUACUUUCAAGGUAUACCUUGUCUCACAUACAAUAGCCAUGUCUGUGUUCUGUUAUUUUAUCAUCUUUAAAUACUUUCUGACUACAGAAUAUUUGCCUUUACAAAGUAGUAUUUAUGUAUGUUUCUGUGACUCUUAUAUUUUCCUGCUGUGUCUUAUUUGCAGUCAUUGGUUUAUUGCUGAUAUGAAGGGGACCAGUGAAUGACUAAAUUAAAAAAAUAUCAAAUUAAUGGCUUAUAGUAUGUAUUCACUGAUUUCAGUAUGUGCCAGGGAUCUAAGUUGUUUUUUUUUUGAUGGAUAAGUUAUUUUUCCAAACUCAGUAAUAUAUAAGAACAAACUUAGAGUAUAAAUUGUUGUAUUUCAAUCUUAUACUGGUGGCUGUUAUCUUCCUUAGACCCAACAGCCUCUCUUUUUGUCCAUUGAUCCUUGUGUGACUUUUUACGGCCACGUAGUCACUAACGGACUGUGAAAACCCUGUAGUAUAUAUACCUCUGACCCCCAGUGCUGGCCAUUAUCCACUGAUUUACCCUAUCUGACAGAUCAGAACCUAAGAUUGUUUUCUCUUCUGCUUUUGUCAAGAAGGCUUAACAUUGUGGAGGGAGUUGUCUUGAGACUGUAUCAUGUGGCAGAAUUGGGCAAAAGCUGGUUACCUGAACCUAUGGUGGGGGUUCAAUUUAUGUUCAUAUUGUGUAGUGGAGAAUUCUUGGGAGGAUUACUAGAGCUGUUAAAUCUGGUAAAAAUGUUAAAACGUACUGCACAAUUUGACAUUAAGUAAAAUAAGGCUGUGAGCUUGAACUGUUACAUCCUUAAAUAUACCUUGUGAAUAUUGCUGUGAUGGAUGAUGCAAAUUGUUUUUUUUUUUUUGGUGACAUCCAUCUCUAAGGGGCUGUUGGCAAUCAUGAGUAAAGGUGAAAUCUGUACUCCUGAACAAAGGUGAGUAACAAACUCCUUGAACACUUGAACACAGGUGUGUUGACUUGAACACAGGUGGAUGUCAUAUUAAGCAUCCAUUGACUCAAAGCUGUUAAGACAUUUUGACUGAGGUGAAGCAUUUCCCAGUGAACUGAUGUUUGCAUCACAUCCUUUUCUUUGUGUUUGAAUGAAUGGGGAGUGAACUGCUUUCUCUUGACCUGCUUUCCUGUGUGAGACUAAAGUUGGUUUUUGGAGUGAUGUCGGAGACUUAAGUCCACACAGUCUGUGCUUGUUCUCUGGGUCCAUGGAGCACAGUCAAUCCAGCUCCUCUUCUGAGAACUGAAAUCACUCUUAAACAAAAAUUAGUUUUUGUUUUUGAAUUCUGUUCUGAUUGACAGGAAUCUGUGUCAGGUUGAGAGAAAAUAGUUAAUAAAUGGAAGACUACUGCAAUCUAUGGAAAGUAUUUGCAUUUGGAGGAGAAAUAGUUUGAUGCAUUGGUUUUAGCUUUAAAAGAAUGACAAUAGUUUGCAAUUAAUGUCUUGGUGACUUCUGCAUAGUCUAUGGCUGUCUGGAUUUUAAGACUCAGACCUACCUUUUUUUUUUUUUUUUUUUUUUCCUUUUAAAGAGUACUGGGGUUUAAAGAGAAAGGCAUGAUAAAAAAUAUGUUGUAAGUAUAGUAAUCAGAUGGACCGUUCCUGCCUUCUGACUUCCUUAAUCUCUCUUACUCUAAAACAGUAUUUCCUCAUCACUGCUGUUGUGAAACAAGAGCGAAGGACUACAGAAAUAACUGUUGUCUGAGGACAAGGAGCUUGACUGAAGGGAAGAACCUGCAUUAACCCUGGAGCUAUUGUCUUUGUCUUUCCCUCUCUGUUUUGUUGAAAGCAUAAAAUCUCUUAAAGCACAAGGAAAUGCCUCAGAAUUGUUCUGGAACCAUUGUAGAUGUGAAGGCUCCGAGACUUGCUACAGUGCUAUGACUUUGCAAGGCCACGUAGCUACAAAAUCACUGGAUGAGGAUGCUGUGUUUUAGGCUCCUAGGACUUUCAAGACCUUUUCGCUGGAGAGAAAAGACUGGUCACUGCAACAGCUUCACCUGCAUUUAAAUGACUGAGCAACAGAAAAGUUUCUAAAGUAGUUUGGGACCUCCUGAUGAGUGGAUUCUGUUCUAUGCCAUCAGUUCUAACAGGCUUUGUUGUCCCUACCAGAAUGCUGAGAUUUUGGAAGAGUGCAGGUUCUUCUCAAAUCAUUCCUGUGCUGCCUGACUUCCACCUUGGAUGAUCCAGUUUUGGACAGUUUUGCUGGCUUCCACUUUAUUCCCACAAGUUCUUCUAACAUGUGUGACUGCAAAAAUGUUUCCUCUGCUUCCAGGUAUCACUCACUUGAUAGUAUGGUGCCUGACAACCAUAUGUCUCUACAGCACCUAACUGUACUUUUGCCUUUUCUUUAAAUCAAUAGGACAGUUAUUGCUUUCAGUACAUUAGAGUGGAACUUCCUCACAAAUAUGUAUUUGUCUGUUUACUGCAAAUCUGUUGUAGGUGGUGCAUCUGUUUUCACGUGCUAUGUCAGAAAAGUUUAUACAUACUUGAAGACUAGAGAGGGAAAAAAAAUUAGCGUGUUGCUGUUAUCUCCUUGUUAAAGCUGAUAAGUCUAAUAUAAAAAAGUGCAUGCUACAGUCACAAAGGCUAGGAGGCUCAGGAAUUUUUAUAUUGCCCAAGCAGACAGAUGAAGUAUAUUUUAUAUGUGAGGAGGUAGGUAAAUACUGGGAUAUUUAUUAUAAUUUAUAAGCCCCAUCAAUAAUAAAAGUUUGAAGUGUAUUAAACUUAGGCUUUAUGUUAAGGUCUUUGUCCUGUUUUCUUGUUACUUCUCACAAAUGCUUCAUCAACCAUCAUAGUCCUGUAAAGUGAUUUCUGUAUAGUAAUCAGAGGUCAUUGUGGAGAACUGUAAUCAGAAUAAAAAUCAGUUUAUAUUUUGUGGACAAAUAAUAAUUAGUUGACUAAGAAGAAGCAAAAACCAUUACACAAUUUCAUGAAAGCCAGAAAGAAGGGACAGAAGUAGAGAGGGGUGAAUGCUUAUCGUUGUAAUAUUAAUAUAUUGUUUACUUUCAGUUCAUGACUUUUGUCAGAGUGCUGUCUUUCUGUUGAAUGGUCUGAAUGUCCUUCUGGCAUAGAUUAGAUUAAUCCUUUUUUUAAAUGUGAGCAAAUACACAUUUACUCAACUGGAGAGGAAAUAAGAUGACAAUUAAACAAGUUCAUGUUUGGGAAGAGUAGAAAGGAGUUUUAUAUUGGUAUUGGCUUUGCAUUUUGAUAAUGCUUUGUGAUGCUUUCUCAUUGCAUGACUCCUACAGGAGAGUGGUGGGUUAUGUGAAGACAAAUGUCUUAGGAACAAAAAGCCUUUUUCUGCCAAAGCUUGAAGAAGGGUCUGUCUCUCUCUUUUUUUUUUUUUUUUUUUUUUUUUUUUUUUUUUUUUUUUUCUUCUCCUCCUGCAAAAAAGUCCAAGAAAACUGCUGACACUCAGAAGAGGAAAACAUGAUUUAUGAUGACAUCAUGUAUUACCCAAGCAAAACUGUUUUGAGGAAGAUUGUUUUUUUAUGGUGUGUUCAAAUAAAGAAACAGUGAAUCAUUCUUGAAAGAAUAUUGGUUCAGAUUCUUCUCCCUUCUAUCACCACCACCCCACCCUUGCUUUUCCUUUUCUACUUUGUCUGUCUUUGGGCAUCUUAAUAUUGAUGCUAGCCACAGAAAGUUGUUAAAUUAUCUUCAGUCCUUAAACAUAGCUUCUUCAUGUGGGUUGAUACAAGAAUAGUGUCUGCCAUGUACCUGGAGGCCAUUCCCAACUGCUUCUGAAUAGUAUUGGUACUGAUUUACUGGCUCCAGCAACAUUUAAUUGCAAACUUUAUUUGGAGGUAGUAAGUUUCCUUUCAGCCUCAUCUCCUAAUGGAAGUUGGUUGUUUUCAAACAAUAUUUCAUUUAUAGUUAUUUGACUUAGUUAAAAUGGCCUUUGUCUAUGAAAUGCUGUAAGACCAGUCUCAAUAUUUGUUCAGAUGAUGUCAUCAGCAACAGAGAAGAAAGCAGAUGAAUAAAAUACAGACGAUAUUCCAAUGUUGAAUAUCUUAAAAAGAAAGCUAACUGGUAAAGUUGGGUAGAUUACAGCAGUUUUAUGGAUAAUGCUAGGAAUUAAGGCUAAAAAGGAGUUGAGGUUCGUUAUGUGAGUGCCAGAAAAGAGGUGAUAACUCACUGAAAGUCUUAGACCGUGACUUGAGCAAAAUUCUCAGACUGAGUACUGGUAUCUGGGCUGAGACACUGGAGGAGCUGAGGAGCUGAGUGUUUGGUAGCUGCUGGGUGUACCAAUGAUUCCGGAGAGGGGGAUGUCACACAAACCUUGUAAAAGUAUUUCCCUUUAAAGUUAGGUCAGAAAUGAACAUUUAUGACUGUUCCAUGAAGUUCUUUUAGUUGUAGUUCUUAACUCUAAGGAAAUACAAAAUGCAGAGAAACAAUUGUGGAGGUGUCCAAAUUGGGGCUUAAUAAUGGUUGGUAUUAGUUGGCCAGUUGCACUCUGCCUAAUGUCUGAGGACCCCAUGCAUCGCUUUUACUGAAAGAACAGCAUAGAUUUAAGUAGCUGCUAUAGAACACAUCUCUUACUAAAAAAAAUAAAGCUCCUAAUGAUACAACCAGAUUCAAGCUGACUGUGAUGCCUGUAUUCAUAUUGAGCAAUGCCUUGUUUUGUGAUUUUUUUUUUUUCCCCUGUCAUGUAGAUUGGGCCUUUGUAUGUAAGUAUGUAAACGUUUUUUCCUAUUAUGUACCCUUCUGAAUAUGCCAUGCAUGCAUUUGCCAUUCCAACUAAUGCUGUUUUGAGAAGCAGGGGCAAGGUUUGCAGUGGGACAUGGCCUUUUCAGAAAACAGUUUGAAACUUGGCAGUUCUGUGUUGCAUCAGGCAAGAUGCUUCCUAUCAGUUCACUGAAAGUGUUUUGCUGCUGCAGAAACAGGAAGAGGAAGGUGCAGCUGUCUCCACAAAAGCAAAAUCUGGACCUUCACGGGUAAGUGGAAGUGUUGCCCAUGAGCAGGGCAGGGGCUUCAGGCUCAUGGUGAAUUCCUAGCUUGUUCGGUGCAAAGCAUCGACUCUUUUGCCUUAACUUUGCCAGGAGUCAGUGCUUUGUAGGGAGCUAAGAGUUAAUGUGUAGUACUUCAUUUCUCUAUAAAGUAAGUGCUGCUGUGUGAUUGGGAGUCCUAUCCCUCAUUUCCCCUCCCUUUGAGCAGUGGUAUGAUAUAUCUUACUUUGUAAUUCUUGAAAAGUCAGCUUGAUUGAUUUUUAUUUAAUAUGUGUUAGGCCCCAACCUUUCCACAGUCUCCUUUUAACCUUGUCAGAUUUCUCUCUGGUGUUCCUUCUCCUAUUUUGAAACAAUUAAACUCUUGUAAUAUAAAGUGAUGUACACCUCAGCUUUGGUAAGUAUUUUUGAGAAACAUAGAGAAACUGGUGUUUGCAGUAAAACCCCCAUUUUUUUCUUGGAGAGACCCUACGUGUUGUGAACAGAUCUGUGAAGACUGAGUCCUUGCAAAAUUUCAGUUGUCCUGUAACUUAUUCAACAGAUUCUAUGUAAAGAUUACAGCAAAGUUAGUAAGAAUCCUGUCAUCAUCCAUAGAAAACAUGUACCAGUGUAUCAUUAGUAGUCUGUCUGUACUAUAAUGUAGACUGUCAUGGCCCUGAAAAGGUGACUGCCUUUUCCUCCAAUUAAAUUAUAGGCUUAUAGCAUGUGCUUAACUAUGUUCUUAAUUGUUUUGUAAUACAGGAGUGAAAUUAAUGUCCUUAUAUGCUUUGCUGAGUCAAGAUCUUGGUGGAUUCCUGUACUCAUGUUUCAUGGUGUUAAGUCUCUACCAAUGUUCGUUCUUUCUGUUAAUAGCGAUAAAGUCACAAAGCAAUUAUACUCUGGCAAGCUGUCCUUUAAUAACCUUUGUCAUUUGUCAGAGUGCAUUAGGCCCUUGAAAAUUUUUACAGACAAGCUAUUGGUCUUCAUGAACUAAUAGAGUGCUCUGAUGUGCCAGCUCAUUUGACUUGCCAAACUGCUGUUAGUUGAGAGGGGAGCUCACGUCAAUUUAAAGAAAUAUUUUACACCUUUUUAUUAGAGCAAAAGAUUUUCAAGCAAGAUUAAAACCUGAUUUAGCAACAAUCAACAAACAAUGCUCAUUUGAACCGUCUCAGCCUUCCAGUCCUACAAAGCUUGUUUUAAGCUUUUCAGUUCUCUUUGGAUGUGAAUGCAGUUUAUGUUAAACUAAAAAAAAUGUAUAAUGAUGUUCAUGUGUUAAAUUUUGGUGGUUUUAUCAUAAGCAUGUAUUUAUAAUGCUACACCUCUGAGUAUUUGGGACUUUGAACACUGCUCGUUACACUACAAAGUUAUAACUCAGUGUGAUUCUGUCUUCUUCAAUGAUAUUUCUUAAAUUAGUGUUAUAACUACAGGGUCUAUUCCUUCUAGUCAUUUACCUUUAUAGUUAUAACUUAUAAAUUUUGGGAUUGGCAUGUUCUUAGGUUACUUUCUGUAAAGGAAAAUAUGUGAGAGGGAAAGAGAGCAACUACCUGUAAAACUGUUUAGUGUUUUGUGAACUGUCUAGUGAUAAGGAUUAAAAAAAGUGAUAAUUCUGUUGCUGUUGUGGUAAUUUAAAUAUAUACAUUUUCAUUUACUCCUGACAACUUCAACAGAGAGCUCUGAUGCUUAGGGUACAUACUACAGCUCUGCUUCAGUGAUUGCUUUCUUCUUGGUUAGAUCAUGUUGAAGCCUGAUGGAUCACUUUGACUUUCUAGAUGUGUACACUCCAGCAUUCAGUUCUUGGGUACACAAGGAGACAGAUUAAAUAUAUAGAAGCCAGACAAAUAAACAUGCUUUGCUGACCUCUGACUGGAGCUGGGAUGUAGCAAUAUAUACACUUUGUAAUAAAAAUAGCCUGUGUUCUUUUGAAAUAUUCAAAUGUAUUUUUAUCAUUGUUACUACUUGGAAAGUAAAGCUUGAACAUAAUCUGCAUCCCAAUAUUUCUAGCUAUUCUGACAGAGUUAGACUAGACACUAUGUAUGUCGUUAAUGAACAAUAUAAUUCACAAAGAAUACAUUUAAAUUGCAAAAAGUUAUUGACUGAUGGAAGUAUUUUGUUUUGUAGUCUCUGCUAUCUUCUUUGAAGCAAACAUUAUUUCUUUUUUUUUAAUUGCUUAUCCCACCUGUGCUACUUCAUUAUUGUAACGAACUGGGUAAAUGACCCAGCAGAGAGAUUUCAGUGUUAAGCUGAUACUGUUUCUGUUACAUCUUCCUUUUUUUGUUGCUUGCAUGAAUAUGCACAUAUAUGUAUUCUGAUGGAGUUCUGUCUCAUUGUUGAGCUGUUAGUCUCAGUAUUGUGUGUGUGUGUGUGUCUUAUUUUUAUUUUACAAAUAUCCAUCUGGCAACUGAAGACAAGUAUUUUGUUGAUGGAUUAGAAAGGUCCAAGGUUCUUGAAGUUUGCAUGUCCUGUGAAAAAGACAGGUCAAUUUUUUCAUUCUGGACAUCUGUCUCUCAUAAGCUCAUAAAUUGCUCUUGAAGCUGGAUAAAAAAAAUACUGAAGGCAGCAUCAUAUUUAAGAGUUUAAAUGUGCUGAUUGGAGUGUCUGAGAGUCUAACCUCAGGCAAAAGGUCUCCAGUUCAGUCUUUUUGACUGAUGUGGAGUGGUCCACUGUUAAUAAUUUAGUUUUGAGACCUACUAAAUGAAAAAUAGGAGACUCAUAGCAUCAGUAUCACUGUUUAUCUUCCCUAGAAAAUAUGAACUGAUUGUAUUUUGAUAUAUGUUUCCAUUCUUUACACAUUUAACUGUUCUCUGUUGUAGCCACUGCAUCUGAUUUUUUUUUUUUUCCUUAAUGAGCAAUGAUUUUAUAUCUACAGAACACAUAGCUUGCCCUGCAGGACCUUAUGUUCAUUUUUAGCUGCUCUGUUUGUGUAGUAAAUA